UACGAAGGGGGCUAGCGUUGCUCGGAAUCACUGGGCGUAAAGCGCACGUAGGCGGACUCUUAAGUCGGGGGUGAAAUCCUGGAGCUCAACUCCAGGACUGCCUUCGAUACUGGGAGUCUUGAGUUCGGGAGAGGUGAGUGGAACUGCGAGUGUAGAGGUGAAAUUCGUAGAUAUUCGCAAGAACACCAGUGGCGAAGGCAGCUCACUGGCCCGAUACUGACGCUGAGGUGCGAAAGCGCGGGGAGCAAACAGG
This 253-nucleotide ribosomal RNA is filed under the name uncultured bacterium. RNAcentral describes it as "partial 16S ribosomal RNA". It matches the Rfam family "Bacterial small subunit ribosomal RNA", at positions 524 to 776 of the family's 1533-position model. The record is from RNAcentral.